RNAcentral lists this ribosomal RNA (1044 nucleotides) under marine metagenome. RNAcentral's name for it is "bacterial SSU rRNA". It matches the Rfam family "Bacterial small subunit ribosomal RNA", at positions 197 to 1247 of the family's 1533-position model. The record is from RNAcentral.
AUAAUUAAAACUCCGGUGGUUAAAGAUGAGCAUGCGUCCUAUUAGCUUGAUGGUGAGGUAACGGCUCACCAUUGCUACGAUAGGUAGGGGCCCUGAGAGGGGGAUCCCCCACACUGGUACUGAGACACGGACCAGACUCCUACGGGAGGCAGCAGUAAGGAAUAUUGCGCAAUGGAGGCAACUCUGACGCAGCCAUGCCGCGUGAAGGAAGAAGGCCUUAUGGGUCGUAAACUUCUUUUAUUUAGGAAUAAACUCUCGUACGUGUACGAGACUGAAGGUACUAAACGAAUAAGCACCGGCUAACUCCGUGCCAGCAGCCGCGGUAAUACGGAGGGUGCAAGCGUUAUCCGGAUUUAUUGGGUUUAAAGGGUGCGCAGGCGGACCGAUAAGUCAGUGGUGAAAUCCCGGGGCUCAACCCCGGAACUGCCAUUGAUACUGCCGGUCUUGAAUACGGUUGAAGUAGGCGGAAUGUAGCAUGUAGCGGUGAAAUGCAUAGAGAUGCUACAGAACACCGAUCGCGAAGGCAGCUUACUAAACCGAUAUUGACGCUCAGGCACGAAAGCGUGGGGAGCAAACAGGAUUAGAUACCCUGGUAGUCCACGCCGUAAACUAUGAUCACUCGUUGUUGGCAAUACACAGUCAGUGACCAAGCGAAAGCGAUAAGUGAUCCACCUGGGGAGUACGAUCGCAAGGUUGAAACUCAAAGGAAUUGACGGGGGCCCGCACAAGAGGUGGAGCAUGUGGUUUAAUUCGAUGAUACGCGAGGAACCUUACCUGGGCUCAAAUGCAUAAUGACAGAUCCUGAAAGGGAUUUUUCUUCGGACAUUUUGCAAGGUGCUGCAUGGUUGUCGUCAGCUCGUGCCGUGAGGUGUCGGGUUAAGUCCCAUAACGAGCGCAACCCCUACUCUUAGUUGCCAGCAUGUAAUGAUGGGGACUCUAGGAGAACUGCCUACGCAAGUAGAGAGGAAGGUGGGGAUGACGUCAAAUCAGCACGGCCCUUACGUCCAGGGCUACACACGUGCUACAAUGGCCGGUACAAUAUGA